CUACGGGACGCAGCAGUGAGGAAUAUUGCACAAUGGGGGGAACCCUGAUGCAGCAACGCCGCGUGGAGGAUGACGCAUUUCGGUGUGUAAACUCCUUUUAUAUGUCAAGAAAAUGACGGUAGCAUAUGAAUAAGCACCGGCUAACUCCGUGCCAGCAGCCGCGGUAAUACGGAGGGUGCAAGCGUUACUCGGAAUCACUGGGCGUAAAGGACGCGUAGGCGGGUUGGAAAGUCAGGUGUGAAAUCCUACAGCUUAACUGUAGAACUGCACUUGAAACUUCUAAUCUAGAGUAUGGGAGGGGGAGAUGGAAUUAGUGGUGUAGGGGUAAAAUCCGUAGAUAUCACUAGGAAUACCUAAAGCGAAGGCGAUCUCCUGGAACAUUACUGACGCUAAGGCGUGAAAGCGUGGGGAGCAAACAGGAUUAGAUACCCCGGUAGUC
This 439-nucleotide ribosomal RNA is filed under the name uncultured bacterium. RNAcentral's name for it is "partial 16S ribosomal RNA". It matches the Rfam family "Bacterial small subunit ribosomal RNA", at positions 339 to 795 of the family's 1533-position model. The record is from RNAcentral.